Gasterosteus aculeatus aculeatus (three-spined stickleback) is the source of this 1342-nucleotide long non-coding RNA. The record is from Ensembl. Lineage: Eukaryota; Metazoa; Chordata; Actinopteri; Perciformes; Gasterosteidae.
AUGAACCAUAAGCAUGUGACAGCAGAUACGUGUGAGCUUGCUUUCUGAAUGUGGACACACGUGAAGGACGUCCAGUCAUCCGACAGCUUGUCGCAGAGAGCAGGACGUCUUUGACUGAAGGAACCCACAGUGGAUAUUUGGAACGGCUAAAACAACUUGAACCCUCUGACUUGAGGUUGAACCUGUCGGGGCGGAACAACUCGCCCACGUAUCAGUGUGAAGCUGCGUGUUGAAUCAUUUACUGCAGCUUCCUCACAAAGUACAUGUUGUUACAUGAAGGAUUCUACUUCCUCAUCACAUGGCACCUUGAACCCUCUGGCUCCUACAUCUGCUGUGCAAAGGAUUGUGGCUGGUGGAGUUGUUCAGGUAACAGGUGAAGUUGACCUCCACCCACUGAGGUGCUGAUGUCAUCACCUGAUACACUGAUGGUUCCUCAGUGAUCACCUGACCUUUUUAUCCACAUGUGGACCAACAAAUGUCCCUCUUACCUUGUUUCCUAAAUGAACAUGUCUUAGAGUCUAAGAGCCUUUUGAUGAGUCGGGUAUUUUUCUGUCAAAGUUUGACCCCCAAAUGUCUCUCUGAAAAAGACAAGAAAGGACACAGAGAAAGGUGACUUGUGGAAUUGAAUGUUGUGAAUUAUUUGUUAGUUUUUUUAAUUGUUGUGUACACUAGUACACAUGUACAUAAGUCUACGUAUAAGUACUUCUUAUAUUUCCAAGAAAAGAUCAAACUUCAUCAAGAAAGACUUUGUUUUCCAGCAAAUGAGUCCAAACGUAUCGAGUGCAAAUAAAACCAAUAUAAACCACCAAGACGAUCAACAAGUAAGAGUCGAGGGUGCGCUGGAAUCCGCAAGGUUGGCGGUUCAACCCCGGCUGCUCCAUGUCCCAUGCUGAAGUGUCCCUGAGCAAGACACAUGACCCCUAAAAGCCAGGAGUUAAAAAUGUAAUCGCUUUGGAUAAAAGCAUCAGCUAAAUGACCUGUAAUGAAGCUUCAGCAUGUUGAGAGAAUAACAUCAUAUUUAUUCCACCUUCAUCUGCAGCUUGAGUCACUUUAUACAUUUAGAGUUUUACGUACGUUGAGUUGAUGAAUAACGGUUUUCAAUCAGAAAGGUUUCAGCAUAUAAUAAAUAAUGUUUGUGUAUUAGUAAGAAUAUUGAGGUUUGGACCAAACAAACUUUGCAUACGUGUCACUUUGGGGUAAUUGUGACACCAUUUCUCACCACAUAGAGGACACAUUAGAGAGAGACAGUGAUGGUGACUAAAACAGAGCAAACAGAGAAUCUUUGAAAUUCAAUUCAAAUACGUGUAUAUGUCAUAUAUAUAUAUAUAUAUAUAUAUAUAUA